Molecule: ribosomal RNA, 149 nt
Filed under: uncultured bacterium
Lineage: Bacteria
Description: partial 16S ribosomal RNA
Rfam family: Bacterial small subunit ribosomal RNA
Source: RNAcentral
UAAUCAUAGGUCAGCAUACCUAUGGUGAAUACGUUCCCGGGCCUUGUACACACCGCCCGUCACACCAUGAGAGUUGAGAAUACCCGAAGCCCAUGUCAAAGUGGUCGAAGGUAGGCUUGAUGAUUGGGGUGAAGUCGUAACAAGGUAAC